GGUGGUGAAGAAAUUGGACUAACCGCUUAUGCAUGCCAGGUCUCCACACGAACUUGAUUGUCUCAAGAAUUUGCUGGAGACCCGAGGAAAUGCUUGAAAGGAGGCAACUUAACCAUGAUGAAUUGAUUAUCAUUUCAAACGACCUCAUAUUAUCUUAACUCUACACUUUUUGAUGAAAUUGAAGUGUGAUGAAUUUGAUAUCAUAUUCUUCACUCUGAAGCAUAUGAGAUGGUAAGUUGUACUAAUUCAUCUGCAGGAUCCCAAUCCUCAAACCACUGAGUGGGUUCUUGACAGUGGAUUUACUAAUCACAUGACUGGUGAC
RNAcentral lists this long non-coding RNA (322 nucleotides) under Hordeum vulgare. Its description in RNAcentral is "long non-coding RNA (HVUL_LNC016124)". The record is from RNAcentral. Lineage: Eukaryota; Viridiplantae; Streptophyta; Magnoliopsida; Poales; Poaceae.